Molecule: ribosomal RNA, 496 nt
Filed under: uncultured bacterium
Lineage: Bacteria
Description: partial 16S ribosomal RNA
Rfam family: Bacterial small subunit ribosomal RNA
Source: RNAcentral
GAUGAACGCUGGCGGCGUGCCUAAUACAUGCAAGUCGAGCGAACAGACGAGGAGCUUGCUCCUCUGACGUUAGCGGCGGACGGGUGAGUAACACGUGGAUAACCUACCUAUAAGACUGGGAUAACUUCGGGAAACCGGAGCUAAUACCGGAUAAUAUAUUGAACCGCAUGGUUCAAUAGUGAAAGACGGUUUUGCUGUCACUUAUAGAUGGAUCCGCGCCGCAUUAGCUAGUUGGUAAGGUAACGGCUUACCAAGGCAACGUAGCGUAGCCGACCUGAGAGGGGGAUCGGCCACACGGGAACUGAGAAACGGUCCAGAUCCCUACGGAGGCAGCCGUGGGGAAUCUUGCGCAAUGGGCGAAAGCCUGAACGAGCAAAGCCGCGUGGGUGAAGAAGGUCUUCGGGUUGUAAAACCCUGUUAUUAGGGAAGAAAAAAAGUGGAAGUAAACAUGGCCGUUCUGACGGUACCCAAAGAAAAAGCCCCGGCUAACUUCGUG